Canis lupus familiaris (dog) is the source of this 508-nucleotide long non-coding RNA. RefSeq lists it as uncharacterized. The transcript has 3 exons. Lineage: Eukaryota; Metazoa; Chordata; Mammalia; Carnivora; Canidae. The record is from RefSeq and is a predicted model, not a curated record.
AGUGACUUUGGAUGAAGAUAUUCUAGGAAUUACCUGCACCUUUACAGAUUCAUAUGUAUCAGAUAUGUUUGUAUUCCUGGAUCAUAUGCCAACACAAGUCAAAGAGAGAUUGUAAGGAAAUCAUCCUUAAAAUUGCUGCUACUGAUACUGAAGAUGUACUAAUGUAUUCUUCAAGCUUCUUUCCCUGACUCUAGGUGGGACUUUGAGAUAUCCUUUCUGAUAUUGUUCUCCCCAAAUCAAGAGCUGACCAUGAGAAACACUACUUCAAUAUAAAAUUCAUAAAAAUCUUUUGACAAACUGCUCAAAUUCAUCUAACCAAGACCAAGUGUGAAAUCAUAAAUUCAUACUAAAGCAUUCCUCUUUCAUUCUUUUUUAAUACUGUUUCAUAAAUCUGAACCUAUCAGGAGCAAGAACAUAUUAUAGUAAGUGGUUUCCAAUUAAAAUAUCUCCUUAAUCUCAAGACUUUCAGAAACUUUAAGCAGAGAUUUCUCUUUAGUAUUAGUAACUG